Molecule: ribosomal RNA, 286 nt
Filed under: uncultured bacterium
Lineage: Bacteria
Description: partial 16S ribosomal RNA
Rfam family: Bacterial small subunit ribosomal RNA
Source: RNAcentral
AUCCUACGGGGGGCAGCAGUAGGGAAUCUUCCACAAUGGGCGCAAGCCUGAUGGAGCAACACCGCGUGAGUGAAGAAGGGUUUCGGCUCGUAAAGCUCUGUUGUUGGAGAAGAACGUGCGUGAGAGUAACUGUUCACGCGGUGACGGGAUCCAACCAGAAAGUCACGGCUAACUACGUGCCAGCAGCCGCGGUAAUACGUAGGUGGCAAGCGUUAUCCGGAUUUAUUGGGCGUAAAGCGAGCGCAGGCGGGUGGUUAGGGCUUGUGUGAAAGCCUUCGGCUUUACC